CGAUUCCUACGGGAGGCAGCAGUAGGGAAUAUUGGACAAUGGGUGAGAGCCUGAUCCAGCCAUGCCGCGUGCAGGAAGAAGGCCUUCUGGGUUGUAAACUGCUUUUAUCUGGGGAUAAAAAGGCCUUGCGAGGCAAACUGAAGGUACCAGAUGAAUAAGCCACGGCUAACUACGUGCCAGCAGCCGCGGUAAU
RNAcentral lists this ribosomal RNA (193 nucleotides) under uncultured bacterium. RNAcentral's name for it is "partial 16S ribosomal RNA". It matches the Rfam family "Bacterial small subunit ribosomal RNA", at positions 333 to 524 of the family's 1533-position model. The record is from RNAcentral.